UGGGGAAUAUUGGACAAUGGGCGAAAGCCUGAUCCAGCCAUGCCGCGUGUGUGAAGAAGGUCUUCGGAUUGUAAAGCACUUUAAGUUGGGAGGAAGGGCAGUAAGCGAAUACCUUGCUGUUUUGACGUUACCGACAGAAUAAGCACCGGCUAACUCUGUGCCAGCAGCCGCGGUAAUACAGAGGGUGCAAGCGUUAAUCGGAAUUACUGGGCGCAAAGCGCGCGUAGGUGGUUCGUUAAGUUGAAUGUGAAAGCCCCGGGCUCAACCUGGGAACUGCAUCCAAAACUGGCGGGCUAGAGUAGGGCAGAGGGUGGUGGAAUUUCCUGUGUAGCGGUGAAAUGCGUAGAUAUAGGAAGGAACACCAGUGGCGAAGGCGACCACCUGGGCUCAUACUGACACUGAGGUGCGAAAGCGUGGGGAGCAAACAGG
This 429-nucleotide ribosomal RNA is filed under the name Pseudomonadota bacterium. RNAcentral describes it as "Proteobacteria bacterium partial 16S ribosomal RNA". It matches the Rfam family "Bacterial small subunit ribosomal RNA", at positions 355 to 776 of the family's 1533-position model. The record is from RNAcentral. Lineage: Bacteria; Pseudomonadati; Pseudomonadota.